UCUCUAGUGGUCCAGUGGUUAGGACUCCACACUUCCACUGGGUGGGGGGGUGGCGGCGGUGCAGGUUCAAUCCCUGGUUGGGGAA
RNAcentral lists this transfer RNA (85 nucleotides) under Bos taurus (domestic cattle). It matches the Rfam family "tRNA". From Rfam's summary of the family: Transfer RNA (tRNA) molecules are approximately 80 nucleotides in length. Their secondary structure includes four short double-helical elements and three loops (D, anti-codon, and T loops). RNAcentral also lists the same sequence under 2 other names. The record is from Rfam by way of RNAcentral. Lineage: Eukaryota; Metazoa; Chordata; Mammalia; Artiodactyla; Bovidae.